This 408-nucleotide ribosomal RNA is filed under the name uncultured bacterium. RNAcentral describes it as "partial 16S ribosomal RNA". It matches the Rfam family "Bacterial small subunit ribosomal RNA", at positions 28 to 526 of the family's 1533-position model. The record is from RNAcentral.
GACGAACGCUGGCGGCGUGCUUAACACAUGCAAGUCGAACGAAGUGGCGAACGGGUGAGUAAUACGUGAGUAACCUGCCCUCCUUUUUGGGAUAAGCCUUGGAAACGGGGUCUAAUACCGAAUAAAGGGGGAUGGGCUCGCGGCCUAUCAGCUUGUUGGUGGGGUGAUGGCCUACCAAGGCGGUGACGGGUAGCCGGCCUGAGAGGGUGACCGGCCACAUUGGGCCUGGCAUACGGCCCAGACUCCUACGGGAGGCAGCAGUGGGGGAGAUUGCACAAUGGGCGAAAGCCGGAUGCAGCGUCGCCGCGUGGGGGAUGUAGGCUUUCGGGUUGUAAACCUCUUGCGGUAUCGAACGGGUAGUUGGCGUAGAAGCGCCGGCGAACUACGUGCCAGCAGCCGCGGUAAUUC